This 369-nucleotide ribosomal RNA is filed under the name Penaeus brasiliensis (pinkspotted shrimp). RNAcentral's name for it is "partial 12S ribosomal RNA". Lineage: Eukaryota; Metazoa; Arthropoda; Malacostraca; Decapoda; Penaeidae. The record is from RNAcentral.
UGUUACACUUUAUAUAAAUUAUAAUAUUACCUGGGUAUUAAACAGUUAUUGUCUUGAAACUCAAAGGAUUUGGCGGUAAUUUAGUCUAUUUAGAGGAACCUGUCCUGUAAUCGAUAGUCCACGAAAAAUCUUACUUUAUCUUGUAGAAAACAGUUUGUAUACCGUCAUUAUUAGAUAACUUUAAUAAAAUGUAAAGUUAUUGAAAGAGCAUAGCUAAUAUAUUAGAUCAAGGUGCAGCUUAUGGUAAAGGAAGAGAUGGGUUACAAUAUAUUAAAUAUAAACGGAGUAAUAAUUGAAUAUUUAUUAUUGAAGGUGGAUUUAAAAGUAAGAAGGUUUUAAUAAGAUCUUUUGACCUUAGCCCUAGAUUAU